RNAcentral lists this unclassified non-coding RNA (1918 nucleotides) under Hevea brasiliensis (rubber tree). Lineage: Eukaryota; Viridiplantae; Streptophyta; Magnoliopsida; Malpighiales; Euphorbiaceae. The record is from RNAcentral.
AAAAGCAGCCUUAAUACUGAAGAAAUGAUAAUAACGGUGGAAGGCUGGAAGCUGGCGCGAAAGUCACCCUAUUCGGUCUCAAUUCUUAUAUUACUACCACGUCCAAUCUAAGCCUUCUUUAAGGUUGAGAUCGCAGAUACUAAGAUUGAGCUUCUUCUGUAACCAAUUACACACUCUGAGAUGCAGAAAACGGCGCAAUCAUGGUUUACCGGAGGCCCAAGCGCCACCACUACAUUCAACGAUCAGCAGCUACCCAAAUCCUCCUCUUUACUCGCUGAUUGGAACGCUUACGCUGCUUCUCAGGACGCCGAUUCUUCUGAUCUUGGCUUCGAUCUCGAAGCUGCCGUUCGUACCACCAGUGACAAAGUCACUGGUACUUUCAGCGUGUAAACACUUCAAUCCCCCAUUUUUCUUUUCUCUUCACGUUUACUGGAAUUGGGGCUUUCGAGAUUAGUUAGGUCUGUAACUUGCUUGAGCAUCUCUUUUCCUUUUCUACUAUAGCUGAAUUAGAUCAUAUAACAGAGCUCCAUAGAUAAUGGAGCACAAUUAAAGAUUUAGCACAAGUUUUUCUAUUAUUUAUAAAUUAAUUGCGUUUGAUAGGCUUUAAAUAAGCAAAUUAAAAAAUAUAUAUAUUUUUAUUUUAUUUCAGUUUUUUGAAAAAUUGCUAGUUGUUUAUAGCAAUUUUGGUGGAUUGUGGGUUUGUGGCCUAGAGGUCAUGGGAAGGAAAGGCUACAUAGACACCCUUUUGGGUGGUUUAUCAGAAGCCGCCAACAAUAACAUUUUCGUUUUUUUUUUUUAAAUUCUCAAUAAUAUUGACAUUAGUUUGCUAUGUUAGGUUCCAUCACAUUGGGCAUUUAACAAUUAAUCAAUUUGUCUUUUGUAUCAUUGUAAUUACAGUGUAUUGUUAGAAUUGAUCUGUCAGGAUAUGGAGCUUGAGUUUAUAGUAAUUUACUGUUUGCCUCAAUUUUCAUGCACUAGAAAGUACAAUAGGGAUGGUGAUUCAUAUCCUAGUGAUUUGUUCUUUUCCCUUCUUAUGAGACUAAAAAUUGAAAAUUUGGAAGAGAAAUGGCCUUUUUACAAUCGGUGAAAUUUGUGACAUUCUGAUUAUGAUUUUAUGAAUAGGAUUGGUCUACCAUUUUCCUGCCACUCUUGCUUGCCUGUGUUGUACAUUUGACCCAACUUUUGUUCAGGGUAUCAAAAGGAGUGAGGGAUUUGCCUGGCAACUUUCAGUCCGCCACUAGCAAUGUUCCUUCUGGAAAAUCUCUCAUGUACUUUGGAGUGCUCCUUGCUGCUGGAGUGUUCUUUAUAUUUGUUGCAUUCACCAUGUUUCUUCCUGUCAUGGUGUUGGUGCCUCAGAAAUUUGCUAUCUGCUUCACCAUUGGUUGUGCCUUCAUCAUUGGUUCAUUCUUUGCACUCAAAGGUCCCAAGAAUCAACUUGCGCAUAUGUCUUCUAAAGAGAGGCUCCCUUUUACAUUGGGAUUCAUCGGUACCAUGGUUGGAACUGUAUAUGUCUCUAUGGUCCUGCAUAGUUAUGUUCUUUCUGUGCUCUUCUCUAUUUUACAGGUCCUUGCUCUAUCAUACUAUGCCAUUUCAUACUUCCCUGGAGGAUCGACGGGGCUGAAAUUUCUUUGUUCAACUUUUACCUCCUCAAUACUGAAAUGUUUUGGAAGGUGAUGCAGAUUUCUAUUUUUUUUUUUUUCCUCAAAUUGAAUUCUUUGGUCAUCCAUAAGUUUGUUAUAUUGUUUUGUAAGAUAGGAAAUGCUGGCAAACCAUUUCCAUGAUAUUUGCAGUUAAAAUAUCUUUGUAGAAUUCAACUUGUUUCAUUGUAAUGCUCUAAAGAAGUUUUUCCAUCAAAAUUGAUAAUAUUUUUUUAUAUUCCCUUCUUUUCGUUGGAUGAGAAAUAAAUAUUAAAAUGUUC